This 427-nucleotide ribosomal RNA is filed under the name uncultured bacterium. RNAcentral describes it as "bacterial SSU rRNA". It matches the Rfam family "Bacterial small subunit ribosomal RNA", at positions 355 to 774 of the family's 1533-position model. The record is from RNAcentral.
UGGGGAAUUUUGGACAAUGGGCGCAAGCCUGAUCCAGCAAUGCCGCGUGCAGGAUGAAGGCCUUCGGGUUGUAAACUGCUUUUGUACGGAACGAAACGGUCUUUUCUAAUACAGAAGGCUAAUGACGGUACCGUAAGAAUAAGCACCGGCUAACUACGUGCCAGCAGCCGCGGUAAUACGUAGGGUGCGAGCGUUAAUCGGAAUUACUGGGCGUAAAGCGUGCGCAGGCGGUUUUGUAAGACAGAGGUGAGAUCCCCGGGCUCAACCUGGGAAUUGCCUUUGUGACUGCAAGGCUUGAGUGCGGCAGAGGGGGAUGGAAUUCCGCGUGUAGCAGUGAAAUGCGUAGAUAUGCGGAGGAACACCGAUGGCGAAGGCAGCUUACUAAGCAUAUAUUGACGCUGAGGCACGAAAGCGUGGGUAGCGAACA